UUCUUAUUGGAUGAUGGUUGCUACGUGUCAUAUUCUGAUUGGAUGUCAACUCCAUAGAAGAUGAAAUAUAUUAUUAUUUUCAUUGACCAAUCAGAACAUGACACGUGACAGUCAUCAUCU
Molecule: non-coding RNA, 120 nt
Organism: Glycine soja
Lineage: Eukaryota; Viridiplantae; Streptophyta; Magnoliopsida; Fabales; Fabaceae
Source: Rfam